Molecule: ribosomal RNA, 371 nt
Filed under: uncultured beta proteobacterium
Lineage: Bacteria; Pseudomonadati; Pseudomonadota; Betaproteobacteria
Description: bacterial SSU rRNA
Rfam family: Bacterial small subunit ribosomal RNA
Source: RNAcentral
GGAAUUACUGGGCGUAAAGCGUGCGUAGGUGGUCGUUUAAGUCCGUUGUGAAAGCCCUGGGCUCAACCUGGGAACUGCAGUGGAUACUGGACGACUAGAGUGUGGUAGAGGGUAGCGGAAUUCCUGGUGUAGCAGUGAAAUGCGUAGAGAUCAGGAGGAACAUCCAUGGCGAAGGCAGCUACCUGGACCAACACUGACACUGAGGCACGAAAGCGUGGGGAGCAAACAGGAUUAGAUACCCUGGUAGUCCACGCCCUAAACGAUGCGAACUGGAUGUUGGGUGCAAUUUGGCACGCAGUAUCGAAGCUAACGCGUUAAGUUCGCCGCCUGGGGAGUACGGUCGCAAGACUGAAACUCAAAGGAAUUGACGG